RNAcentral lists this ribosomal RNA (497 nucleotides) under uncultured bacterium. RNAcentral's name for it is "partial 16S ribosomal RNA". It matches the Rfam family "Bacterial small subunit ribosomal RNA", at positions 28 to 507 of the family's 1533-position model. The record is from RNAcentral.
GAUGAACGCUGGCGGCGUGCCUAAUACAUGCAAGUCGAGCGAACAGACGAGGAGCUUGCUCCUCUGACGUUAGCGGCGGACGGGUGAGUAACACGUGGAUAACCUACCUAUAAGACUGGGAUAACUUCGGGAAACCGGAGCUAAUACCGGAUAAUAUAUUGAACCGCAUGGUUCAAUAGUGAAAGACGGUUUUGCUGUCACUUAUAGAUGGAUCCGCGCCGCAUUAGCUAGUUGGUAAGGUAACGGCUUACCAAGGCAACGAUGCGCAGCCGACCUGAGAGGGUGAUCGGCCACACUGGAUCUGAGACACGGUCCAGACUCCUACGGGAGGCAGCAGUAGGGAAUCUUCCGCAAUGGGCGAAAGCCUGACGGAGCAACGCCGCGUGAGUGAUGAAGGUCUUCGGAUCGUAAAACUCUGUUAUUAGGGAAGAACAAAUGUGUAAGUAACUAUGCACGUCUUGACGGUACCUAAUCAGAAAGCCACGGCUAACUACGUG